This 499-nucleotide ribosomal RNA is filed under the name uncultured bacterium. Its description in RNAcentral is "partial 16S ribosomal RNA". It matches the Rfam family "Bacterial small subunit ribosomal RNA", at positions 28 to 507 of the family's 1533-position model. The record is from RNAcentral.
GACGAACGCUGGCGGCGUGCUUAACACAUGCAAGUCGAACGGGCCCGCUCUCUUUUUUGGGGGUGGGUUGAGUGGCGAACGGGUGAGUAUCACGUGAGUAACCUGCCCCCUGCUCCUGGAUAACUGCUUGAAAGGGCGGCUAAUACGGGGUGUGCCGGCUGGUCCGCAUGGGCCUGGUCGGGAUAGUUUCAUCUUCUGGUGUUUCGGUGGGGGAUGGGCUCGCGGCCUAUCAGCUUGUUGGUGGGGUGAUGGCCCACCAAGGCGGUGACGGGUAGCCGGCCUGAGAGGGUGGGCGGCCACACUGGGACUGAGACACGGCCCAGACUCCUGCGGGAGGCAGCAGUGGGGGGUAUUGCACAAUGGGCGGAAGCCUGAUGCAGCGACGUCGCGUGAGGGAUGGAGGCCUUCGGGUUGUGAACCUCUUUCUCCGGUGGUGAAGGCCCUGUCCGUUGCGGCGGGGUUGACGGUAGCCGGGUAUGAAGCGCCGGCUAACUACGUG